Molecule: ribosomal RNA, 468 nt
Filed under: uncultured bacterium
Lineage: Bacteria
Description: partial 16S ribosomal RNA
Rfam family: Bacterial small subunit ribosomal RNA
Source: RNAcentral
GACGAACGCUGGCGGCGUGCUUAACACAUGCAAGUCGAACGGAAAGGCCCUGCUUUUGUGGGGUUCUCGAGUGGCAAACGUGUGUGUAACACGUGUGUAACCUGCUCUUGACUUUGGUAUAACUUCAGGAAACUGGGUCUUAUACCGGAUAGGCUCUCCUGCUGCAUGGUGGGUGUUGGAAUGUUUCGGCGUGUGGGGAUGGACUCGCGGCUUCUCAGCUUGUUGGUGGGGUAGUGGCUUACCAAGGCUUGGGCGGGUCGCCGGCCUGAGAGGGUGACCGGCCACAUUGGGACUGGGAUAGGGCCCAGACUCCUACGGGAGGCAGCAGUGGGAAAUGUUGCACAAUGGGCGGAGGCUUGAGGCACCAAGGCCGCGGGCGGGAUGACGGCCUUCGGGUUGUAAACCGCUUUGGCCAGUGACGAGGCGUGAGUGACGGUAAUGGGUAAAGAAGCACCGGCUAACUACGUG